GACGAACGCUGGCGGCGUGCUUAACACAUGCAAGUCGAACGGUGAAGCGCCUUCCUUUUUGGUGGGUGUGGAUGCGUGGCGAACGGGUGAGUAACACGUGCGUAACCUGCCCCCUUCUUCUGGAUAACCGCAUGAAAGUGUGGCCAAUACGGGAUAUUCUGGGUCUUUCGCAUGAUGGGUCUGGUAAGGAUAUUGUUGCGGGGCGGGAUGGGCUCGCGGCCUAUCAGCUUGUGGGUGUGGUGAUGGCCUUCCAGGGCGGUUGGGGUUAGCAGGCCUGGGAGGGUGGACGGUCUCACUGGGACAGCGACACGGCCCAGACUCCGACACGAGACAGCAUUGGGGGGUAUGGCACACUGGGCGCAAGCGUGAUACAGCGACACCGCGGGUGGGGUGGAGGCGUUCGGGGUGUGAACCUCUUUCGCCAGUGAAGCAGGCCUGCCUGGUUUGUGGGUUGGUUGACGGUAGUUGGAUAAGAAGCGCCGGCUAACUACGUG
Molecule: ribosomal RNA, 494 nt
Filed under: uncultured bacterium
Lineage: Bacteria
Description: partial 16S ribosomal RNA
Rfam family: Bacterial small subunit ribosomal RNA
Source: RNAcentral